CCAGGCUGAUCUUGAACUCCUGACCCCAGUGAUCCACCCACCUCGGCCUCCCAAAGUGCUGGGAUUACAGGUAUGAGCCACCUUGCCUGGCCAGCGUUAUCACUUCUUAAAUUUAUAGGUGUAAAGUGACAGCUCCUUUGGCAUUUUUAUGCCCACUCAGGAGACUGGGUAUUUUUCCAUAUUUGUUGUCUAUAUUUGGGCUUGCUUUUUUGUCAAUUACCUAUUCAUAUCCAUUGCCUAUUAAAAAAAAUUGGGUUGUUUGCCUUUUUGUUAUUAUUUGCAAAAUGAACAAAAGUAUCACAUAAUUGGGAUUAUUGAGUUCUUGGGUGUGUACAUUUUGUGUAUUUCAGUUUCUUUUAGAAGCAUUAAAGAAUAAUGUAAUAUAAAAAGUGUACAAACACAUUUUUUGUAGAGUUGAUAGACUUAAUAGAGUAGUGAGCCUAUGAAUUUUCAUGAAGUGAAUACACCUGUGUAUCCAGUGCCUGGAUUAAGAAGUAGAGCUACACUUAAAAUUUUAAUAGGAGUUGGUAAAUACAAUACCAAAAAGAUUUUAGUAUUUAUUUUUCCCACAGUGUGAUCAGUUUUUAAAUGUUUUACUAAUCCAAAGAACAAGAUCUCAUUAUUGCUUUAUUUGCAUUUCCUUGAACAUUAGAGAGGUGAUUAACUUUUUACAUAUUUAUGGGUAUCAGCAUCCAUCUUCAAACCAUCUGUUAAUCUCUUCUGAUCAUUUUCUUGUUGAGUUGUAUAUGGGGGAUAUUAACCCUAUGUCUUAUUGAAUGUGCUGCAAACCUUUUCCUCUAGUCUGUUAAAAAAUAUCUAAGUUUUUCUAUUAUGGUUUCUGUUUCCUGUCUUGCCUUAAGAGGGACUUUUCAGAUUGUAGAACUUUUUGUAUUUAAGAAAGAUGAUUUUGUGUUUUACUUUUAGAUCUUUACCUCAGCUAAAAUGUAUACUUGCAUGUGGUGUGAGGUAGGGGUCUGACCUUGUUUCCAGAUGGUAAGCCAUUUGCCCAAGUUCUGUUUAUUAUAUAGGUAGACCUGGUUUUAAAUUUCCAUUCUGCCCCUUAUUAGCUGCAUGAUCUUGGGCAACUGGAUAGCAAUUGACACAGUCGACCACUUCCUCUUUCUCAAAAUACUUAUUUCCCUUAGCUUUUGUGAUGUAAGACUGCCUUGAUUUUCCUUCUGCUUCUCUGGCUGGUCUUUCUUCUCUCUUUUUUUCAGAGUAAUUCUUCCUUCCUGGACCCUCACACCAUAUAUUUUGUGCUGAGUGAUCUUAUCCACAUAAUGGCUUCAGCCACAGUCAAAAUGCAGAGGAUUCCUGUAUUUCAAUGUCUAGUCUGGAGCGCUCAGUUGAGUUCUGGAUCUGUGUAUCCACCUGGCCACUUGACGCCUCCACUUGGAUGUCCCACAGGCACCUCCAAUGCAAAAUGACUCAUGAUCUUCUCCUCCACAUCAGCACUCUCACAGGAGUUCCUGUCUAAGGGAAUGGCAUCACCAUCUUCCCAUUAUAAAAGCCAUACAUUUGAGCAUCAUCCUUGACUAAUUCCUGUUCCUUCCUUUGUUGUACCCAGCGCCCAAAAGAAUGCCCAGCACAUGUCUCUGCACCCUGGUCCAGACACCGCCUCCUUUCACGUGGAUUUUGCCCUGCCUCUUCAGUGACCUCCCAGGAUGCACUCUGGCCUCUGUGAGGCCAAAGCUCUGCCCAGGUCUUUUCUGAAGGUCACCCUAAAAAAUGAGUCACAUUUUUCAGUGGCAUCUCAUGAUUUCUAGAAUGAGGCCCAAGCUCCUCCCCAUGGGCAGCAGCACAGGCUGCCUACAGUGUGGGCUGACCCCAUCCCAGCCUCACCUUGCUCACUCCCAAAAACCUUUUUCUGCCUCCUGCAGCCACUGUCCCCUUCUUGCUGUCCUUGAACAUGCUUUGACUACCCUGUCCACUUGGGGACUUCAGACACACCGGGUAUAAGUUUUAAAUAGAGGAACCUGGAACUAAUUCAGAAACUUUGUACCUGAGCUUUAAGACAACAAAACACCAAGCCA
Molecule: long non-coding RNA, 2033 nt
Organism: Chlorocebus sabaeus (green monkey)
Lineage: Eukaryota; Metazoa; Chordata; Mammalia; Primates; Cercopithecidae
Source: RefSeq, a predicted model, not a curated record